UAUUUCAAAAGGACUAGGUUUUAAACAAUUGACAGGUAAUCUUAAACAAAAUGGUGGUGUUGAAUGUGGAUAUUGUGUGAUGCGGUACAUGAAAGAGAUAGUCUUAGAUGAAUAUCCACAAUUGGAGAGAAAGUUUGCAGCAUCAAAAAAUAAACAGUAUUACAAUCAAUCUCAGUAUGAUGAAGUCAGAAGUGAAUGGAGCGAAUUUGUCUAUUUCUAUGUGGGUGCCUAAGUGCAGGC
Molecule: long non-coding RNA, 240 nt
Organism: Zingiber officinale
Lineage: Eukaryota; Viridiplantae; Streptophyta; Magnoliopsida; Zingiberales; Zingiberaceae
Exons: 3
Source: RefSeq, a predicted model, not a curated record